Hemicordylus capensis (graceful crag lizard) is the source of this 598-nucleotide long non-coding RNA. RefSeq lists it as uncharacterized. The record is from RefSeq and is a predicted model, not a curated record. NCBI's taxonomy places the organism in Eukaryota, Metazoa, Chordata, Lepidosauria, Squamata, Cordylidae. The transcript is spliced from 3 exons.
AAUGCUGCUCAACCUCCCCAAAGCUUUCUAAUGUGUGUGGGAGGACUGACCAAGUAGUGUGGAUUUGUUUUGUGCUGAUUACUGAAAAGGACUGAAAAAGAAUUUGUAAAAAGAAAUUCAGGAAAUCUGCCAUUUGUAGUUUUCUGCAUGAUUGCAAGUUUCUUUGCUGGCAAUGAAGAUUAUGUUGGAGUGGAGAUGAGGGGAGUGAAGACCACAAGAGUGAACAUGCAGCAUCUAUCCCCUGAGGGACCGUGAGGAAAUGAACUCGUGAACUUCAUAACGUUCUACACAAUGGAAAGUAAAUAACUCAAGGGAUAUAUCACAGGGACACUCCAAAUAGCCCUGGCCGAUGUACAUGAACACUUGCAUGAGGACCGUGAUUCUGCUGGGCCUUCUGAACAUCUCUGUGGCUUUUGGCAUGCCUAUGGGAUCAUGGUAGUGCCUGUGAUGAAUGGAAAUGCAAGGUCUUAUAUGAACCACUUAUCAACUGGACCACCAACAAGACACAUGUAACUAUACUAGUAAUUCUGGAAAACCAGCUAGAUUCACAGAUUUCCAGGCUGCGAUCCAAUUUAAAUUGGACCAUUAAAAAAUGACA